GCACAAGCACAAAACACACAGAGCCCUUCCAGCUCCACCUGCAGAGAGCAGCGCACAGGCACACGCCGCGAGUGGCGAGACCCAAACCAGCAGCCAUGCAGAUGCAGCUCAGCGUUCCGCCGCAGGUUGUCGUGUGUCUCGCGUUAGCCUUUCUGCUCCCGUGCCACGCCACGGCGACGGCCCCGGCCGGCACGAUACGGCGCGUGACCAAGCAGCAGAUCCUGGCGAGCAUCCCGCCGCACUGGGACGAGAACCCCGUGCUGUUCCUGACGUCGCCGUCGGGGAAGUACGCGGCGUACUUCAUGCGCAGCCAGACCGAGCCGGGCGCCGGAGGCCUGGGCGCCGACUUCUGCUACGUCGAGGUGCUCGACACGACGGCGCCGGGCGCCGAGGGCCGGAGCGUGUGGGAGUCGGAGUGCAUGGCCGUGAGCACCGUGAACACGUGCGCGCUCGUGUUCUCGUGGAACGGCCUGGAGGUGUUCGACGGGAGCACCUCGGUGUGGCACACCCACGACGCGCAGUCCGACGACCAGAACUUCCUGCAGACGCUGCAGCUGGUGGACCAGGGCGACAUGCGCAUCCUCGACAAGGGCGGCGAGCUGGCGUGGAAGGCCAGCGACGAGCCGCGCGCCGCGCAGCGCUGCGGGAUGCCCGGCUCGCCCGGCCUCGCCUCCGCUCUGCCCCCGUUCGCCGAACCGAUAGGCCACGGGAGCAGCGACCUGCCGUUUGGACAGGGAGACGCUUACGGCAACGGCGUCGGAGUCGGAGUCGGUGUUGGUGCUGGCGGCGCGGCGCAACCCGAGGCACCGCUUGCGGCGCCUUUGCCGCAGCCCGAGUCGUUGCCACUGGCGCCGCUACCUCAGGAAGCCGAUCAGUUCGGUGGCGCCGCCGCCGCCGCCGCGGGGCAGGGACAGACCGUGCAGGAUGUGGGGCAGACGUUCGGAUUCGGCAACCAGCCGCUGGUGGACAACAGCCCGUACGACAGUGGGGCGCUCAAGCAUGGAUGCAGCCUGGUGGGGAACUCGGUUGCUUUGGGUCUCAGCGUUGCCGUCGCCAUGGGUCUGGGCCUCUGAGUUCGAGACAUGCCAGCGUGCAAACGGUUGUGGUGUGCUAAACUCUUGUUAUUAUCUCCGGCACAAGAAGCCGGUAGAUGUAUUGUGUUUGGGGGUGGUUCUUGUUUGGUGAUGUCAGUGGGGUAUUGUCGUUGUAGUCUAAUCUUGAGACUGCAAAUUGUUUGUUAGAAAGCUCAGCUAAAAAAACAAAGUCAUCUAUGUUAC
This 1277-nucleotide unclassified non-coding RNA is filed under the name Zea mays. RNAcentral's name for it is "misc RNA Zm00001eb398770". Lineage: Eukaryota; Viridiplantae; Streptophyta; Magnoliopsida; Poales; Poaceae. The record is from RNAcentral.